RNAcentral lists this long non-coding RNA (516 nucleotides) under Homo sapiens (human). RNAcentral's name for it is "non-protein coding lnc-MPHOSPH8-21:1". Lineage: Eukaryota; Metazoa; Chordata; Mammalia; Primates; Hominidae. The record is from RNAcentral.
UCCCUGAACUGCAGGAGGAGAACCUGCAGGACUCCUGGGUAGGAUUGCACUUUUGCAAUAAUGGAAAUGGGAGCAAUGUUUCAGCUACGUUUCUAUUUAUAAUGGUGACAAAAAAAUACUGCUGGAUUCCCAGCAUGGGUCUGGAUAGAGUGCCAAAGAGUUCUCAUUGUGACAGCCCAACUCACUCAGAAACACCAUGAGACACUUUUGGGUGACCCUUCUGAAGACAGACACCGAAAGCAUUGAAGAGAAAAACAGCUCUCAGUCUGAAUAAAAUUGUAUUAAGAGGUUAAAGGUAUCUGAAAGAAAAAUUCAGAUUACAUAUAAUAUUAGCCAAGUCGACCAGAAAAUACUCCCCUGAGACAGUUUCUCUCUAAACACCCAAAAUGCACAGCCGCUCUCAACACAAGAAACACAGUGUUAUGAAGAAAGGGGGCAUAUUCUCAGCAGAAUUUCUUAAGAUUUUUCUUCCAUCUCUGCUGCUCUCUCAUCUGCUGGCCAUUGGAUUGAGGAUCU